RNAcentral lists this ribosomal RNA (386 nucleotides) under uncultured Streptococcus sp. Its description in RNAcentral is "bacterial SSU rRNA". It matches the Rfam family "Bacterial small subunit ribosomal RNA", at positions 993 to 1382 of the family's 1533-position model. The record is from RNAcentral. Lineage: Bacteria; Bacillati; Bacillota; Bacilli; Lactobacillales; Streptococcaceae.
CUUAUUUCUAGAGAUAGAAAGUUACUUCGGUACAUCGGUGACAGGUGGUGCAUGGUUGUCGUCAGCUCGUGUCGUGAGAUGUUGGGUUAAGUCCCGCAACGAGCGCAACCCCUAUUGUUAGUUGCCAUCAUUCAGUUGGGCACUCUAGCGAGACUGCCGGUAAUAAACCGGAGGAAGGUGGGAUGACGUCAAAUCAUCAUGCCCCUUAUGACCUGGGCUACACACGUGCUACAAUGGUUGGUACAACGAGUUGCGAGUCGGUGACGGCGAGCUAAUCUCUUAAAGCCAAUCUCAGUUCGGAUUGUAGGCUGCAACUCGCCUACAUGAAGUCGGAAUCGCUAGUAAUCGCGGAUCAGCACGCCGCGGUGAAUACGUUCCCGGGCCUU